Molecule: long non-coding RNA, 503 nt
Filed under: Rattus norvegicus (Norway rat)
Lineage: Eukaryota; Metazoa; Chordata; Mammalia; Rodentia; Muridae
Description: long non-coding RNA NONRATT004726
Source: RNAcentral
UGAAGUAAGUCCUCAUGCUUCUUACCAGUUACCUAUUACAGAAUGCUCACGUCACUGCUCUGUGACCAUCCCUGUCGCUGUGGCUCAACUCCUGGGUGCUAGGGAUAAAAUGGAGGCCUUUCACACACAAGCUGUGGGUUCUCUGAACUCCUCCUGGACCCUGGCCGGGUUUGUGUGUGGCCUAUUGCCCCUGAACCUGGGGUUGGUCUCAUCUGUGUCUAAUGGGAGAUUUAGGAGGAUGAACUCCUUCUGUGGGAAGGAGUUUCUGCCCAUGGUUUUCUUCUGCUUCCUCUCGAAUCCCAAUGCCUCCUCCUGCAAGUGCCCACUGCUUUCCUGCUGCCAAAACCUUUCAAAGAACAAGCCAGAUAGCAGUGCUUUUGUGCAUCUACAACUGUGACCUAAGUGAACCAUUUUUUUAAAAAAGGACCUAGCCUCAGAUACUUCAUUAUAGCUACAGAAAAACAGACUAAAGCAACAAUCAGUGUUUAAAAAAAAAAAAAAAA